This 253-nucleotide ribosomal RNA is filed under the name uncultured bacterium. Its description in RNAcentral is "partial 16S ribosomal RNA". It matches the Rfam family "Bacterial small subunit ribosomal RNA", at positions 524 to 776 of the family's 1533-position model. The record is from RNAcentral.
UACGGCGGGUGCAAGCGUUGUCCGGCUUUCUUGGGUUUAAAGGGUGCGUAGGUGGUCUUCUAAGUCUGGUUUGAAAGCAAGUGGCUCAACCAUUUGAUGUGGCUGGAAACUGGGGGACUUGAAUGGAUUGGCGGUAGCCGGAAUGGGUCAUGUAGCGGUGAAAUGCAUAGAUAUGACCCGGAACACCGAUUGCGAAGGCAGGCUACUACGAUUUGAUUGACACUGAGGCACGAGAGCAUGGGUAGCGAACAGG